UUGGACAUCGUCGGCGAGAGCAACCUCAUCGACAAAUUCUUCUGCUAUCUCGGUGGCAACCAAGGAGGGCAAUUCACACAGUCAGGAUUAUCACAUUGCCCCAAAGGCCCAGACAUCAUCAAGUGUUCAUUCUUUGGAACCUGCCCACUGUCAACCUUUGAGUAUAUGAAACUGUUCUUUUUAAAAGCUUGCACCGUGAUCCUGGUGUGGAGAUUGGAUUGGUUUUGGACAUCGUCGACGAGAUCAACCUCAUCGACACCUUCUUCUGCUAUCUCGGUGGCAACGCACGACAUUAUGGCUAUUGUAGUCCACUUAGAUAUAAUUCAUCGCACAAUGUGGGGUCCAUUCAGGAAGAUUGUUGUCAUGGAUGCCAGGUGGUCUCUACAUGCCAUUAAAGUUUGGGGUGACUUGCUAAACAAAAAUGCACUUCGCUGGGUGUUGGCUAAGGAGAAUUAUAGCAUAAUAAUUGGGACUAUGUUUCGACGAUUUAGAAGGCAAGAGUGCCUCGAGUCAUCUGAUUAUACAACAAUACACUUCAAUCCUUUCCAUCACAAUAACCAUCACUUUGAACCAAUUCAGAAAGCUUUGAUGGCGUGGAAUGAUCAUUAA
This 609-nucleotide unclassified non-coding RNA is filed under the name Zea mays. Its description in RNAcentral is "misc RNA Zm00001eb094820". The record is from RNAcentral. Lineage: Eukaryota; Viridiplantae; Streptophyta; Magnoliopsida; Poales; Poaceae.